Molecule: ribosomal RNA, 497 nt
Filed under: uncultured bacterium
Lineage: Bacteria
Description: partial 16S ribosomal RNA
Rfam family: Bacterial small subunit ribosomal RNA
Source: RNAcentral
GAUGAACGCUGGCGGCGUGCCUAAUACAUGCAAGUCGAGCGAACAGACGAGGAGCUUGCUCCUCUGACGUUAGUGGCGGACGGGUGAGUAACACGUGGAUAACCUACCUAUAAGACUGGGAUAACUUCGGGAAACCGGAGCUAAUACCGGAUAAUAUAUUGAACCGCAUGGUUCAAUAGUGAAAGACGGUUUUGCUGUCACUUAUAGAUGGAUCCGCGCCGCAUUAGCUAGUUGGUAAGGUAACGGCUUACCAAGGCGACGAUGCGUAGCCGACCUGAGAGGGUGAUCGGCCACACUGGAACUGAGACACGGUCCAGACUCCUACGGGAGGCAGCAGUAGGGAAUCUUCCGCAAUGGGCGAAAGCCUGACGGAGCAACGCCGCGUGAGUGAUGAAGGUCUUCGGAUCGUAAAACUCUGUUAUUAGGGAAGAACAAUUGUGUAAGUAACUAUGCACGUCUUGACGGUACCUAAUCAGAAAGCCACGGCUAACUACGUG